GAAAAUGUAAUUGAGAAAACUCCAGAAUGGGGCCUGGAAUUGAACUUUAUUGGCAGGAAAGGCAUAAAUAUGAUCCUUCCAGUGCACUUCUAAGCAGAAGGAUUUGGGAGAAUAAGCUUUAGCAAGCAUUUAAAGAGGCAAAGCAUUUAUGAAUAUUCUGAAGUGAACUUCCUGAAAAGAAACCAUUUUGUUGAGGUGAUUCUUCCCUGGUUAAACUGACUGCAAUGCAAUUUCAUUGUCUGAAAUACUUUCUUGCUUUUUGCACAGAUUUGUGUGGCUCCUCUGUGUUAGUUAUACCUGUGUUCAUUGUUUGAACAAGCUGAAAACUCCAGGUAUGUCCACUUUUGAGAAACAUUCUAGGGAACAGUUCAAUGUGGCUGGCUUUUAAAUGUGUGUUAUCUUUUGUUAUCUUUUACUUUAUUUAGCUCAACAUAGCAAUGACAUUUAAUUUUAUAAGUCUCUGAACAUAUCUGCAAAAAUUUGGUAUGUUUCCUUUUUUUUGUUUAGAAUAUUUAGAAUAUUUAAUAUUUAGAAAAUAUAUACUGAGUUAGUCUUUAUUUUGUAUUUCUGCCUUUUAAAAUUACUCCAAAGGUGAACAGAGUAUAACUGGAGUGGCAGUAUGGUCUCACAGAAAGAAACACUUUAACAAUGAUUGCAAUACUAAGUGAUUUGCUUGGGAGAAGCUUAUCUACAAAUGAGACCUCCAUCUUGAUUCUUAGGUGUCUCAGAGCCAAAAAAAAAUUCUGAAGAAACUUACCAACUGGACUGUAUGAGAUGCUGUUUUCUGCAGCCUUCCUCCCUUUUUGAGUGGAUCUGUUUCCCGCGCUGCGGAGAACCGUCUGCCUCGUUUGCCUUCUUGGUGCCUGCGCCUCGUUCCUGCGGCUGUCUGCCUUGCCUCCCAAGGUGCUGCAUUCCCCGCCACGCCGCGAGGGAGAGCACCUUAGGCUGCUGUACGCCUCGCCUGCCUGCGGUCCGGAGUCAGAGCUAUGUGGCCACAUAGCAGUCACACACAGGCUGUUGGCAUGCUACCUGUGGAGCAAGCUGGGCUCAAACUCUUGCACAGCAACAUCUACUAUAAAGAUACCUCUGUUUAUUACACAUAUUUUUAAUUUCAUGAUCUCAUUUUAGAGUCAAGUAAAAAGUUGUAUCCAACAGGAUAGGGGGAAGCUUGUCCAUGAGCUUACCUGGGUUUAUCAGGUCCAGAGGAUGAGUCCUUAGUAUUGCUGGUGAGAGGAGCAUUUAGCAGGAGUCUGUGGCACAUUUUUUCGUUUAACCAGAAAUAUUUAAUAAGAAAGUGAAGUAGCACAUUCUAGCACAUCACUCUUGCAAUAAAACAUUUUUCAAUCCACAGGCUGCUGGCAUUUAGUCCUUUGAAAAGCUAAUAACCUUUGAAAUUUCAUCAUUCAUAAGGAAACUGUUACAUUUUCUGAAAAAAUAGGUAUUCAGCUAUGCUUUCCAUAUUAAAUAUUAGGAUUUGGUUGAGAAAACAGGAUUCAUACUUGUAUUUGAAAACUGUGAUUCCUCUGUAAAGGUCUCAAUUCUGUAAUAACAUUUGAGUUUUAUAGAUUUUUAAUGCUGCCACUUAGGAACUUUGUAAACUCCACAUCUGGAAAAAAUGCACAUAAUUUGUAAUCAUGGUAAUCUUUUAGGUUAAUUUUGUUUACCCCUGACAGAAAGCCAAAUUUAAAUAUAGUUAAUUAUGCUGCGCUUCUUUUAUUGUGAACAUUAGGAAAAAGGCCACAAUUUAAGCUUUGAGGCUCCUGCUUGUACUCUCAGUAAAAUAGCUGUGCUUCUCUUAUAGGCAAUCAUGGUAGAUCUCAGUAACAGCAAUAUUCUUUGGGUUAUAUUGCAAAGUAAUAAAACGCUGAAGCCUGUUAACUCUGUUGGUGAUGAAUUCAAAAUGACAUCCAUUCUUUCAACAUUUAACUGAUCCU
Molecule: long non-coding RNA, 1934 nt
Filed under: Geospiza fortis (medium ground-finch)
Lineage: Eukaryota; Metazoa; Chordata; Aves; Passeriformes; Thraupidae
Description: lncRNA (ENSGFOG00000002273.1)
Source: RNAcentral